GAUCAUGUGCCAUGAUUCAUCAUAUGUGUGAGACUUGGUCCCAGCACACCUGGUGAUUAUUUCGCGCCCGGGUUUUGGACCCCUAAAACCAGGGUGUGACAGCUUUGCCUAAGGGUCGUCAAUGGGGACUGGGGCGUAGUGCUCACUCUGCCAAGGGGGGUGCAGAGGUUCAUUCGAUUUGAUUUUGUUAGUCACCCACCUUGGGGAGGUGUACUACGUUUGUACGACUGGCGAAACCUAACGAGCAGCUAUGCACCAGGGGAGUCUUUGUAAAGGCUACGUAGUGAAACCUUACCGACUCACCUUGGUAGUGUUUGAGGGUUUGAUCGACCCGAGGCAGAAAGGGAUCAUGACUCGUGGGUAAAGUGUGCAACCUCUGCAGAGUGUUAGAAACUGGUAUAUCAGCCGAGCUCACGGUUAAGAGCAGCCUUGGGAUCCUCUUUGAUUAGAAGAACUUUGGAUACUUUUAUGGUGAUGUUUAAUGAUGAUGGUUAUAAUUAUGAUCUCUGGUAUUUCCUCUUGAAUGGAGUACAUUUGGGUAAUAACUAGGUUUAUUGCUAAAAUUUGGCUCUACGAUUAAUAAUAAAUACUUGACCAACUAAAAGCAACUACUUAACCUCAACUCCACAUACAACUAGUCCACUUUAGCCAAACGAGAAAUUUGCUGAGUACAUUGAUGUGUACUCACCCUUUCUUUAAAAACUACCUACCCCAGGUUGUCCCCACUGUAUUCAGUGCUCAGGAGGAGAUGUUGGCAACAUGGAUGAACUUUGAGGAGUUCCAGGACUACGACGAGUUCUAGUUAUGUUAGUGGCAAACCCCCAGUCAGCUGCCUGUGAAGGCUUAUCUGCUACGUUUCGUGUUCCGCACUUUGAUGAUAUUAAUGACUAUGUUACACUCUGUGGUUGUCUUGAACAUCUUGAUGUAAUAAAAGUACUUUUCCACUAUUUACUUUGAGCAAUGUGUAAUGAUGUCCAAUUAUGUAAUCGCUGUGUACGUGAGUUUCUGAUCUUGGCACGUACAUAGUUCGCAUCUAGUUUCCUUCCAAAACCGGGUGUUACAAGUAACACAUGCACAUGCAUUCAUAUAGAUUACAAUCUUGCGGACGAAGAGUGCAUGCUGAUUCCAUAGUCUGAGGGAGGACAACAGGAGGGUGACCAGACCCUGACUAAGGAGCGAGUUCCUGUUGACCCUAAUCACAAGGAGGUAAGCCCUAGUUUUUAUGCAUAUCCUGUUAUAUAUUAUUUCACUACAACUCUACUGUAGGAUUGUAUUGUGCACUUAUUUAAUAUGAGUUGCUUGAAAGCCCUAUAUGCAUGACAAUAGACCGCAAUAUGUUGAAUCACUAGUAUGAUAAGUCGUUUAGUCACAAUGCUUUAAGGAUUUUGUUAGAAGUCAAGAUUUUUCUAGCACUUGCAUGAGGCCAGGAAAGUCGAUUGUUAUCCUUUGAAAAUGGGAUUUAUGAAAUGUCUGUAGACAUAGAUCCUCGUUGAUAAUUUAUAUCAAUCGUUUGAACAUACUAAACACAUACUGAGAAAUAUGGUAAUUAGUAAGCCUAUUACCUGAUUGAACAUGG
Molecule: long non-coding RNA, 1576 nt
Filed under: Zea mays
Lineage: Eukaryota; Viridiplantae; Streptophyta; Magnoliopsida; Poales; Poaceae
Description: long non-coding RNA (ZMAY_LNC003429)
Source: RNAcentral